This 460-nucleotide ribosomal RNA is filed under the name uncultured bacterium. RNAcentral describes it as "partial 16S ribosomal RNA". It matches the Rfam family "Bacterial small subunit ribosomal RNA", at positions 338 to 795 of the family's 1533-position model. The record is from RNAcentral.
CCUACGGGAGGCAGCAGUGAGGAAUAUUGGGCAAUGGACGAGAGUCUGAACCAGCCAAGUAGCGUGAAGGAUGACUGCCCUAUGGGUUGUAAACUUCUUUUAUAAAGGAAUAAAACGAGGCACGUGUGCCUUUUUGCAUGUACUUUAUGAAUAAGGAUCGGCUAACUCCGUGCCAGCAGCCGCGGUAAUACGGAGGAUCCGAGCGUUAUCCGGAUUUAUUGGGUUUAAAGGGAGCGUAGAUGGGUUGUUAAGUCAGUUGUGAAAGUUUGCGGCUCAACCGUAAAAUUGCAAUUGAUACUGGGAGUCUUGAGUACAGUUGAGGUAGGCGGAAUUCGUGGUGUAGCGGUGAAAUGCUUAGAUAUAACGAAGAACCCCGAUUGCGAAGGCAGCUUACUAAACUGUGACUGACAUUGAUGCUCGAAAGUGUGGGUAUCAAACAGGAUUAGAUACCCUAGUAGUC